RNAcentral lists this ribosomal RNA (253 nucleotides) under uncultured bacterium. Its description in RNAcentral is "partial 16S ribosomal RNA". It matches the Rfam family "Bacterial small subunit ribosomal RNA", at positions 524 to 776 of the family's 1533-position model. The record is from RNAcentral.
UACGAAGGGGGCUAGCGUUGCUCGGAAUCACUGGGCGGAAAGGGUGCGUAGGCGGGUCUUUAAGUCGGGGGUGAAAUCCCGAGGCUCAACCUCGGAACUGCCUUCGAUACUGCGGGUCUCGAGUCCGGGAGAGGUGAGUGGAAUUCCUAGUGUAGAGGUGAAAUUCGUAGAUAUUAGGAAGAACACCAGUGGCGAAGGCGGCUCACUGGCCCGGUACUGACGCUGAGGCGCGAAAGCGUGGGGAGCAAACAGG